GAUGAACGCUGGCGGCGUGCCUAAUACAUGCCAGUCGAGCUAACGGACGAGAAGCUUGCUUCUCUGAUGUUAGCGGCGGACGGGUGAGUAACACGUGGAUAACCUACCUAUAAGACUGGGAUAACUUCGGGAAACCGUAGCUAAUACCGGAUAAUAUUUUGAACCGCAUGGUUCAAAAGUGAAAGACGGUCUUGCUGUCACUUAUAGAUGGAUCCGCGCUGCAUUAGCUAGUUGGUAAGGUAACGGCUUACCAAGGCAACGAUGCAUAGCCGACCUGAGAGGGUGAUCGGCCACACUGGAACUGAGACACGGUCCAGACUCCUACGGGAGGCAGCAGUAGGGAAUCUUCCGCAAUGGGCGAAAGCCUGACGGAGCAACGCCGCGUGAGUGAUGAAGGUCUUCGGAUCGUAAAACUCUGUUAUUAGGGAAGAACAUAUGUGUAAGUAACUGUGCACAUCUUGACGGUACCUAAUCAGAAAGCCACGGCUAACUACGUG
This 497-nucleotide ribosomal RNA is filed under the name uncultured bacterium. Its description in RNAcentral is "partial 16S ribosomal RNA". It matches the Rfam family "Bacterial small subunit ribosomal RNA", at positions 28 to 507 of the family's 1533-position model. The record is from RNAcentral.